AGAGUGGCGAAAGGGUGAGUAACGCGUAGGUAAUUUGCCCUUGAGACAGGAAUAACAUCCCGAAAGGGUUGCUAAUACCUGAUAACAUCUAUUAACCCUCGGGUUUUUAGAUCAAAUGAAGGCUCUGCUUUCGCUCAAGGAGAAACCUGCGUCCUAUUAGCUUGUUGGUGGGGUAAUGGCCUACCAAGGCGAUGAUGGGUAGCUGGUCUGAGAGGAUGGUCAGCCACAUUGGGACUGAGACACUGCCCAAACUCCUACGGGAGGCUGCAGUCGAGAAUAUUUCGCAAUGGGGGAAACCCUGACGAUGCGACGCCGCGUGGGGGAUGAAGGUCUUCGGAUUGUAAACUCCUGUUCUACAAGAAGAACGAGCAGUUAGUGAUAAGCUAACUGCUGUGACUGUAUUGUAGCAGCAAGCCCCAGCUAACUACGUGCCAGCAGCUGCGGUAAUACGUAGGGGGCAAGCGUUGUCCGGAAUUACUGGGCGUAAAGCGCACGCAGGCGGCCAUAUAAGUCGGGUAUGAAAUUGCUUGGCUUAACCAAGCAACUGUAUUCGAUACUGUGUGGCUUGAGUACGAGAGGGGAAAGUGGAAUGUACAGUGUAGCGGUGAAAUGCGUAGAGAUUGUACAGAACACCGGUAGCGAAGGCAGCUUUCUGGCUCGAUACUGACGCUGAGGUGCGAAAGUCUGGGUAGCGAACGGGAUUAGAUACCCCGGUAGUCCAGACCGUAAACGAUGGGUACUAAGUGUAGGGGAUACGACUCUUCUGUGCUGUAGCUAACGCAUUAAGUACCCCGCCUGGGGAGUACGGCCGCAAGGUUAAAACUCAAGGUAAUUGACGGGGGGCCGCACAAGCGGUGGAGCAUGUCGCUUAAUUCGAAGCAACGCGAAGAACCUUAUCCAGGGCUUGACAUAUCUCUGAUCGCCAUAGAAAUAUGGCUUUCCUUCGGGACAGAGUUACAGGUGCUGCAUGGCUGUCGUCAGCUCGUGUCGUGAGAUGUUGGGUUAAGUCCCGCAACGAGCGCAACCCUUGUCGUUAGUUGCCAUCAGGUAAUGCUGGGGACUCUAGCGAGACCGCUGGUGAAGAGCCAGAGGAAGGUGGGGAUGACGUCAAGUCCGCAUGGCCCUUAUGCCCUGGGCUGCACACGUGCUACAAUGGUCGGUACA
This 1164-nucleotide ribosomal RNA is filed under the name marine metagenome. Its description in RNAcentral is "bacterial SSU rRNA". It matches the Rfam family "Bacterial small subunit ribosomal RNA", at positions 92 to 1241 of the family's 1533-position model. The record is from RNAcentral.